ACGACAACGAGCAGGAUAGUUUAGUUCCUGUGCUCGGUGGGAACUAAGCGAACCUUUAAACGGAGCUAGUCAUGAGAAAUCCUGUCUAUUGGAGUUUUUAAUGGCGAAAUUAAAAAAUAGACUAUGUACGUAGAAACCUAUGCUGAAAUAUCCAGGGACGCGGGUUCAAUUCCCGCCGCCUCCACCA
Molecule: transfer-messenger RNA, 187 nt
Filed under: Candidatus Jettenia caeni
Lineage: Bacteria; Pseudomonadati; Planctomycetota; Candidatus Brocadiia; Candidatus Brocadiales; Candidatus Brocadiaceae
Description: partial transfer-messenger RNA
Rfam family: transfer-messenger RNA
About the family: Bacterial tmRNA, also known as 10Sa RNA or SsrA, is named for its dual tRNA and mRNA-like properties. Its role is to liberate the mRNA from a stalled ribosome. To accomplish this part of the tmRNA is used as a reading frame that ends in a translation stop signal.
Source: RNAcentral